RNAcentral lists this ribosomal RNA (551 nucleotides) under Paretroplus maculatus. RNAcentral describes it as "partial large subunit ribosomal RNA". It matches the Rfam family "Bacterial large subunit ribosomal RNA", at positions 1846 to 2596 of the family's 2925-position model. The record is from RNAcentral. Lineage: Eukaryota; Metazoa; Chordata; Actinopteri; Cichliformes; Cichlidae.
UAAGAGGUCCCGCCUGCCCUGUGACCACAAGUUUAACGGCCGCGGUAUUUUGACCGUGCAAAGGUAGCGCAAUCACUUGUCUUUUAAAUGAAGACCUGUAUGAAUGGCAUGACGAGGGCUUAACUGUCUCUUCUUUCCAGUCAAUGAAACUGAUCUCCCCGUGCAGAAGCGGGGAUAUCCCCAUAAGACGAGAAGACCCUAUGGAGCUUUAGACAUAGGACAGACCAUGUUAAUCACCUCUAAUUAAAGAACAAAACUAAUUGGUACCUGCUCUAAUGUCUUUGGUUGGGGCGACCGCGGGGAAACAAAAAACCCCCAUGUGGACUGAAGAGACCCUUCUUCACAGUCAAGAGCCACAGCUCUAAACAACAGAAUUUCUGACCAACAAGAUCCGGCAAAGCCGAUCAACGGACCGAGUUACCCUAGGGAUAACAGCGCAAUCUCCUUCUAGAGCCCAUAUCGACAAGGAGGUUUACGACCUCGAUGUUGGAUCAGGACAUCCUAAUGGUGCAGCCGCUAUUAAGGGUUCGUUUGUUCAACGAUUAAAGUCC